Molecule: ribosomal RNA, 500 nt
Filed under: uncultured bacterium
Lineage: Bacteria
Description: partial 16S ribosomal RNA
Rfam family: Bacterial small subunit ribosomal RNA
Source: RNAcentral
AUUGAACGCUGGCGGAAUGCUUUACACAUGCAAGUCGAACGAUGAUCCUUAGCUUGCUAAGGGGAUUAGUGGCGAACGGGUGAGGAAUGUAUCGGAACGUAUCCAAUAAUGGGGGAUAACUAGUCGAAAGAUUAGCUAAUACCGCAUACGUCCUACGGGAGAAAGCUAGGGACCUUCGGGCCUGGCGUUAAUGGAGCGGCCGAUAUCUGAUUAGCUAGUUGGUGGGGUAAAGGCUCACCAAGGCGGCGAUCAGUAGCUGGUCUGAGAGGACGAACAGCCACACUGGAACUGAGACACGGUCCAGACUCCUACGGGAGGCAGCAGUGGGGAAUUUUGGACAAUGGGCGAAAGCCUGAUCCAGCCAUUCCGCGUGAGUGAAGAAGGCCUUCGGGUUGUAAAGCUCUUCCGCAAGGGAAGAAAACUUAAGCUCUAACAUAGCUUGAGGUUGACGGUACCUUGAUAAGAAGCACCGGCUAACUACGUGCCAGCAGCCGCAGUAA